This 344-nucleotide long non-coding RNA is filed under the name Helianthus annuus (common sunflower). RNAcentral's name for it is "hypothetical non coding rna". Lineage: Eukaryota; Viridiplantae; Streptophyta; Magnoliopsida; Asterales; Asteraceae. The record is from RNAcentral.
AUGAAGAGGCAAUCUCUUUUUUCAUCCUUACAAAUUUACAUUUGUCUGGCGCCAUACAUCAUUUUGCAAACAAUACUUGUAGCGUGCUUUUUUGCAAGUUGAAAUCAGUCUAUUGAAACAUAAAGGGAGGCAGCAGCACCUGUUGUUGACUGUGAGUAUUUGAAGGAGAUAGAAAGGAGUCGUCGUGAUCUUCGUGCUCUCAUCUCCAACAAAAAUGUGCUCCUAUCAUGCUUUGCUUAGCGUACGUGCUUCAUAUCAUUUUGUAAAUCAAACGAUUUCAUUAUUAAACAAUAUAGCUAAAACAAGACUGUUUUGAUAUGUAACAGAUCCUUAAUGUAUUGAUU